AGUGGGGGAUAACGGCUCGAAAGGGUCGCUAAUACCGCAUACGUCCUACGGGAGAAAGAGGGGGAUCUUCGGACCUCUUGCUAAUAGAUGAGCCUAGGCCGGAUUAGCUAGUUGGUAGGGUAAAGGCCUACCAAGGCGACGAUCCGUAGCUGGUCUGAGAGGAUGAUCAGCCACACUGGAACUGAGACACGGUCCAGACUCCUACGGGAGGCAGCAGUGGGGAAUAUUGGACAAUGGGGGCAACCCUGAUCCAGCCAUGCCGCGUGUGUGAAGAAGGCCUUCGGGUUGUAAAGCACUUUAAGCGAGGAGGAAGGUCUUUGAACUAAUAUUUCAAAGAAUUGACGUUACUCGCAGAAUAAGCACCGGCUAACUCUGUGCCAGCAGCCGCGGUAAUACAGAGGGUGCAAGCGUUAAUCGGAAUUACUGGCGUAAAGCGCGCGUAGGCGGUAUGUUAAGUCGGAUGUGAAAUCCCUGGGCUCAACCUAGGCAUUGCAUCCGAUACUGGCACACUAGAGUGUGGGAGAGGAAGGUAGAAUUCCAGGUGUAGCGGUGAAAUGCGUAGAGAUCUGGAGGAAUACCGAUGGCGAAGGCAGCCUUCUGGCCUAACACUGACGCUGAGGUGCGAAAGCAUGGGGAGCAAACAGGAUUAGAUACCCUGGUAGCCCAUGCCGUAAACGAUGUCAACUAGCCGUUGGGCUCCUUGAGGGCUUAGUGGCGCAGCUAACGCGAUAAGUUGACCGCCUGGGGAGUACGGUCGCAAGACUAAAACUCAAAUGAAUUGACGGGGGCCCGCACAAGCGGUGGAGCAUGUGGUUUAAUUCGAUGCAACGCGAAGAACCUUACCUGGCCUUGACAUGUCUGGAAUCCUGCAGAGAUGCGGGAGUGCCUUCGGGAAUCAGAACACAGGUGCUGCAUGGCUGUCGUCAGCUCGUGUCGUGAGAUGUUGGGUUAAGUCCCGCAACGAGCGCAACCCUUUUCUUUACUUGCCAGCGGGUAAUGCCGGGAACUUUAAAGAUACUGCCGGUGACAAACCGGAGGAAGGCGGGGACGACGUCAAGUCAUCAUGGCCCUUACGGCCAGGGCUACACACGUGCUACAAUGGUCGGUACAAAGGGUUGCUAACCCGCGAGGGCAUGCUAAUCUCAAGAAGCCGAUCGUAGUCCAGAUUGGAGUCUGCAACUCGGCUCCAUGAAGUCGGAAUCGCUAGUAAUCGCGGAUCAGAAUGCCGCGGUGAAUACGUUCCCGGGCCUUGUACACACCGCCCGUCACACCAUGGGAGUUUGUUGCACCAGAAGUAGUUAGCCUAACCGCAAGGAGGGCGAUUACCACGGUGUGGCCAAUGACUGGGGUGAAGUCGUAACAAGGUA
RNAcentral lists this ribosomal RNA (1367 nucleotides) under metagenome. RNAcentral describes it as "bacterial SSU rRNA". It matches the Rfam family "Bacterial small subunit ribosomal RNA", at positions 135 to 1498 of the family's 1533-position model. The record is from RNAcentral.